This 494-nucleotide ribosomal RNA is filed under the name uncultured bacterium. RNAcentral's name for it is "bacterial SSU rRNA". It matches the Rfam family "Bacterial small subunit ribosomal RNA", at positions 29 to 526 of the family's 1533-position model. The record is from RNAcentral.
AUUGAACGCUGGCGGCAUGCCUAACACAUGCAAGUCGAACGCGAAAGGGUUUUGGCCUGAGUAGAGUGGCGGACGGGUGAGUAAUGCGUGGGAAUCUGCCUGGCAGUGGGGGAUAACCCGGGGAAACCCGGGCUAAUACCGCAUACGCCCUACGGGGGAAAGGGGGCUUCGGCUCUCGUUGCCAGAUGAGCCCACGUCCGAUUAGCUAGUUGGUAGGGUAAAGGCCUACCAAGGCGACGAUCGGUAGCUGGUCUGAGAGGAUGAUCAGCCACACUGGGACUGAGACACGGCCCAGACUCCUACGGGAGGCAGCAGUGGGGAAUAUUGGACAAUGGGCGCAAGCCUGAUCCAGCAAUGCCGCGUGUGUGAAGAAGGCCUGCGGGUUGUAAAGCACUUUCAGUCGGGAAGAAAGGUCUGGGGCGAAUACCCUCAGGCGUUGACGUUACUGACAGAAGAAGCACCGGCUAACUCCGUGCCAGCAGCCGCCGUAAUAC